UCUGGCCUCAGGUUGAAGAGGAGGUUAAUAAUUCAUCUUGCCGUGAGAUAAAGCACAUCAAAUAUGGCAGCCCUUGAGGGAGUGCUCUAAAGACUCGGUGCAAGGUGUUUGGACCACAGCCUGGCCGUGACACAACCUGAACCUUUGCCUUUGCUCUCUGUUCAUCUGUGCCACUCAAUAACUGCUGUGAGCUGGGGGAUGAUGAUUUCUCAUCAUGGAGAAAUACGUCUUUCUGAAAGAGCGGACAAGUGAAUCUUCUGUGGGAGGAAUGUUCUCAUUUCUGAACAGAAGAGGUCCCUUCCAAACAAAAACAUUCCCUCCUAUGACUCUAUGAUUGACAGGGGAUGGACAGGCGGUUGCAAGAAAACAGAGCAAGGAGGAGAGCUGAC
RNAcentral lists this long non-coding RNA (389 nucleotides) under Gallus gallus (chicken). RNAcentral describes it as "lncRNA (ENSGALG00010006020.1)". Lineage: Eukaryota; Metazoa; Chordata; Aves; Galliformes; Phasianidae. The record is from RNAcentral.